GCCCGCCUAGCUCAAUCGGAUAGAGCGUCAGACUCUUACGAGGGCGGGAUUCGUUCUGCUCUCAUCCAGGGCUAUCUGAAGGCUGCGAGUUCGACCCUCGCGGUGGGCU
Non-coding RNA from Cubamyces lactineus, 109 nucleotides. NCBI's taxonomy places the organism in Eukaryota, Fungi, Basidiomycota, Agaricomycetes, Polyporales, Polyporaceae. The record is from the annotation of a GenBank genome assembly.